RNAcentral lists this ribosomal RNA (229 nucleotides) under uncultured bacterium. RNAcentral's name for it is "partial 16S ribosomal RNA". It matches the Rfam family "Bacterial small subunit ribosomal RNA", at positions 568 to 796 of the family's 1533-position model. The record is from RNAcentral.
UCCGCAGGCGGGAAAAUAAGUCAGUGGUGAAAUCCUACAGCUUAACUGUAGAACUGCCAUUGAAACUGUUUUUCUUGAGUAUAGAUGAAGUGGGCGGAAUGUGUCAUGUAGCGGUGAAAUGCAUAGAUAUGACACAGAACACCGAUUGCGAAGGCAGCUCACUAAACUAUUACUGACGCUCAGGGACGAAAGCGUGGGGAGCGAACAGGAUUAGAUACCCUGGUAGUCC